GGCAAUCACAGUCUCUGAUUCAGCAAAAGCAGAUGGGAGCCCUAGAGAGAGUUCUCGUUUCUUUUUUUUUUUUUUUUUUUUCUUUUUUGAGCUGGAGUCUCGCUUAGAGGCUCAGGAUGGAGCCCCAUGGAGCGAUCUCGGCUCACUGCAACAUCCGCUUCCUGGUUUCAAGCGAUUCUCCUGCCUCAGCCUACCGAGGAGCUGGGAUAACAGGCACCCGCUAUUAUGCCCAGCUAAUUUUUGUAUUUUCAUAGAGACAGGGUUUAACCAUGUUGGCCACGCUGGACUCGAACUCCUGCCAUCAGGGCAAGGCAAAGUGGAAUGGAUUCACCUAAAAGCGGAAUGCAUUCCCUGGAAAGCAUCGUGGUUAGACCCAUGUGAGACAGGGCUCCCUCAGGUGAUCUUCCUAUCUCAGCCUUCCAAGUGGCUGAGACUACAGGAGUCACUUAAUUCUGUGAUGUCGAAGCUGAAGCGAGCCGUGAUCAUGCCUUGCCCUCCAGUCUGAGUGUUUCAGAAGGUGGAGUUUCGCUCUUAUUGCCCAGGCUGGAGUUCAGUGGCGCGACCUCAGCUCACCGCAACCUCUGCCGCCUGUGUUCAAGAGAUUUUCCAGUCUUCACCUUUUCGAGUAGCUGAAACCACAGGCAAACACCGCCAGGCCUGGCUUUUUUUUUUUUUUUUUUCAUAGAGACUAGGUAGCUCCAUAAUGGUCAGGCUGGUCUAGAACACCCAACCUGAGGCGUACCACCCAACUUGACCACCCAAAGUGCUGAGAUUAAAGGCGUGAGCCAUAACAUCUUAUCCUAUAGAAAUCCAGAGAGGUUAGGUCUGUAGUCCCUGAGACCAGCCUUCCUUGGAUGAACUCCAAAGUGAUGGCUGAGGAUUAGGGAGUGUGGGGGGGGGGCUGGAAAGUCGGUCCACUAUUUUUGCUACCUAGGCCAUGACAUCCCCCGAACCCCAUCGCUUGCUCACCCUUUGAGAUUCCCCCCCUCCACCGCCUUGGUGGCAGAACUCUUACUUUAAUUUCUGUCUUUCUUAGUUUGUUGGGUUUCAGGACGGGGUUCAGGAAAGACGGUGUGCGUGGGGAGGGGGUGUAGGGUGGGGAUGGAGGGGAGCGUCCUAAGGGUCGAUGUAGUGUCAUGCCUCUUUCAUCACCACCACCGAAGAUGAAAGCAACAAUCAUCUAUAUACCGCGUGUUCUCACCCAUAAGUGGGAACUAAAUAAUGAGAAUGCAUGGGAAGAACUAGGAGGAGGAGAGACACAGGAGCCUACUUGAGGGAGGAGGUGUGGAAGGACAGACAGCUUCAGGACAAAGCAAAACGAGCAAAACACAAAAACUGUGGGGUACUGCGCUGAGAAUCCGGGUGAGGAAAUCAUCGGCAAACUGAACCCCCUACUCAGAAGUUUACCUAUGAAACAAUCUUGCACAUGUAUGCUUCGAAAAUAAAUAACAGGGAAGAAAGAGAGAGAGAGAGAAAGAGAGAGAGAGAAGUAAAAUAAAGCACCACCUCCUUGACCUGACUCAGGGGGUUUGGGGUCUUCUGGGGAAACGUUCUGAAACAAUGGAGUAUUUUGGUCUGUU
Molecule: long non-coding RNA, 1580 nt
Organism: Pan troglodytes (chimpanzee)
Lineage: Eukaryota; Metazoa; Chordata; Mammalia; Primates; Hominidae
Exons: 4
Source: RefSeq, a predicted model, not a curated record